RNAcentral lists this ribosomal RNA (699 nucleotides) under uncultured Lachnospiraceae bacterium. RNAcentral's name for it is "bacterial SSU rRNA". It matches the Rfam family "Bacterial small subunit ribosomal RNA", at positions 65 to 769 of the family's 1533-position model. The record is from RNAcentral. Lineage: Bacteria; Bacillati; Bacillota; Clostridia; Lachnospirales; Lachnospiraceae.
AGCGAUUAGGAUGAAGUUUUCGGAUGGAUUCCUGGUUGACUGAGUGGCGGACGGGUGAGUAACGCGUGGAUAACCUGCCUCACACUGGGGGAUAACAGUUAGAAAUGGCUGCUAAUACCGCAUAAGCGCACAGUACCGCAUGGUACGGUGUGAAAAACCCAGGUGGUGUGAGAUGGAUCCGCGUCUGAUUAGCCAGUUGGCGGGGUAACGGCCCACCAAAGCGACGAUCAGUAGCCGACCUGAGAGGGUGACCGGCCACAUUGGGACUGAGACACGGCCCAAACUCCUACGGGAGGCAGCAGUGGGGAAUAUUGCACAAUGGGCGGAAGCCUGAUGCAGCGACGCCGCGUGAGUGAAGAAGUAUCUCGGUAUGUAAAGCUCUAUCAGCAGGGAAGAAAAUGACGGUACCUGACUAAGAAGCCCCGGCUAACUACGUGCCAGCAGCCGCGGUAAUACGUAGGGGGCAAGCGUUAUCCGGAUUUACUGGGUGUAAAGGGAGCGUAGACGGCGACGCAAGUCUGGAGUGAAAGCCCGGGGCCCAACCCCGGGACUGCUUUGGAAACUGUGCUGCUGGAGUGCAGGAGAGGUAAGUGGAAUUCCUAGUGUAGCGGUGAAAUGCGUAGAUAUUAGGAGGAACACCAGUGGCGAAGGCGGCUUACUGGACUGUAACUGACGUUGAGGCUCGAAAGCGUGGGGAGC